Molecule: non-coding RNA, 598 nt
Organism: Nerophis lumbriciformis (worm pipefish)
Lineage: Eukaryota; Metazoa; Chordata; Actinopteri; Syngnathiformes; Syngnathidae
Source: RefSeq, a predicted model, not a curated record
ACAAGAACCAGUGACUGUCAACACUUGUCUGUUUCUGUGUGUCAAUCCUGUAGAAGCACACUUGGUCGUUUGGUGCUCACCGUCAGCUGUAGCCAGUGCCACCAUUGCACAAAGAACUAAAGUCACAGUCAGCAUCUUAGCCAGGAAGAUGGUGCAGAGGUUGAAGACGACGAACUGGGAAACCUUGGAAGUCGCACAAAAGAGCUGCUGAGUCAUCACAAUCUGCAUGAGAGAGAAGGCAAAAAGCAUCUUUCUUUAUUCCUUCCUUACCUGAAAAUGGCUGUCCACCAACGUUCACCAUCCAACCAGACAGAACUUGAGAGGAUCUGACGGGAAGAAUGGCAGAGGAUACCCAAAUCCAGCAGGAGAGAAACGCGACCGUGGUUCAGCUCCGUGCUAAAAUGAGACCCUCAACAACAGCCACGCUUGCUGCGUCCCUGCUUUGCGCCGCGAUGGCACUGACUGCAGUUGACGGUGAGCCCGUUGAGCAAUUUCUCUUCUUUCUGCAUUUGAAUGCUAUGAAUGACGUGUUGUACCAAGCACAGAGUAGAUACAGUCGUGGUCAGAAGUGUACAUACACUUGUAAAGAACAUCAUGU